This 560-nucleotide ribosomal RNA is filed under the name uncultured bacterium. RNAcentral describes it as "bacterial SSU rRNA". It matches the Rfam family "Bacterial small subunit ribosomal RNA", at positions 98 to 688 of the family's 1533-position model. The record is from RNAcentral.
GCGCACGGGUGAGUAACACGUGAAUGAUCUACCUCCGAGUGGGGAAUAACUGAGAGAAAUCUUAGCUAAUACCGCAUAACACUUACGAGUCAAAGCAGCAAUGCGCUUGGAGAGGAGUUCGCGGCCGAUUAGCUAGUUGGCGGGGUAAUGGCCCACCAAGGCGAUGAUCGGUAUCCGGCCUGAGAGGGCGCACGGACACACUGGAACUGAAACACGGUCCAGACUCCUACGGGAGGCAGCAGUGGGGAAUUUUGCGCAAUGGGGGAAACCCUGACGCAGCAACGCCGCGUGGAGGAUGAAGCCCCUUGGGGUGUAAACUCCUUUCGAUCGGGAAGAUAAUGACGGUACCGAUAUAAGAAGCCCCGGCUAACUUCGUGCCAGCAGCCGCGGUAAUACGAGGGGGGCAAGCGUUGUUCGGAAUUAUUGGGCGUAAAGGGUGCGUAGGCGGUCUGGCAAGUCUUAUGUGAAAUCUUCGGGCUCAACCCGAAGUCUGCAUGAGAAACUGCCGGGCUUGAGUAUGGGAGAGGUGAGGUGGAAUUUCCGGUGUAGCCGGUGAAAUG